AGCGAACGCUGGCGGCAGGCUUAACACAUGCAAGUCGAGCGGGCACCUUUGGGUGUCAGCGGCAGACGGGUGAGUAACACGUGGGAACGUACCCUUUGGUUCGGAACAACUCUGGGAAACUGGAGCUAAUACCGGAUACGCCCUUAUGGGGAAAGGUUUACCGCCGAAGGAUCGGCCCGCGUCUGAUUAGCUAGUUGGUGAGGUAACGGCUCACCAAGGCGACGAUCAGUAGCUGGUCNGAGAGGAUGAUCAGCCACACUGGGACUGAGACACGGCCCAGACUCCUACGGGAGGCAGCAGUGGGGAAUAUUGGACAAUGGGCGCAAGCCUGAUCCAGCCAUGCCGCGUGAGUGAUGAAGGCCUUAGGGUUGUAAAGC
This 377-nucleotide ribosomal RNA is filed under the name uncultured bacterium. Its description in RNAcentral is "bacterial SSU rRNA". It matches the Rfam family "Bacterial small subunit ribosomal RNA", at positions 29 to 431 of the family's 1533-position model. The record is from RNAcentral.